GCGGCGGACGGGUGAGUAACACGUGGGCAACCUGCCCGCAAGACCGGGAUAACUCCGGGAAACCGGAGCUAAUACCGGAUAACACCGAAGACCGCAUGGUCUUCGGUUGAAAGGCGGCCUUUGGGCUGUCACUUGCGGAUGGGCCCGCGGCGCAUUAGCUAGUUGGUGAGGUAACGGCUCACCAAGGCGACGAUGCGUAGCCGGCCUGAGAGGGUGACCGGCCACACUGGGACUGAGACACGGCCCAGACUCCUACGGGAGGCAGCAGUAGGGAAUCUUCCGCAAUGGGCGAAAGCCUGACGGAGCGACGCCGCGUGAGCGAAGAAGGCCUUCGGGUCGUAAAGCUCUGUUGUGAGGGACGAAGGAGCGCCGUCGAAGAAGGCGGCGCGGUGACGGUACCUCACGAGAAAGCCCCGGCUAACUACGUGCCAGCAGCCGCGGUAAUAC
Molecule: ribosomal RNA, 447 nt
Filed under: Geobacillus sp. F02C007Y
Lineage: Bacteria; Bacillati; Bacillota; Bacilli; Caryophanales; Anoxybacillaceae
Description: bacterial SSU rRNA
Rfam family: Bacterial small subunit ribosomal RNA
Source: RNAcentral